RNAcentral lists this ribosomal RNA (497 nucleotides) under uncultured bacterium. RNAcentral describes it as "partial 16S ribosomal RNA". It matches the Rfam family "Bacterial small subunit ribosomal RNA", at positions 28 to 507 of the family's 1533-position model. The record is from RNAcentral.
GAUGAACGCUGGCGUCGUGCCUAAUACAUGCAAGUCGAGCGAACAGACGAGGAGCUUGCUCCUCUGACGUUAGCGGCGGCCGGGUGAGUAACACGUGGAUAACCUACCUAUAAGACUGGGAUAACUUCGGGAAACCGGAGCUAAUACCGGAUAAUAUAUUGAACCGCAUGGUUCAAUAGUGAAAGACGGUUUUGCUGUCACUUAUAGAUGGAUCCGCGCCGCAUUAGCUAGUUGGUAAGGUAACGGCUUACCAAGGCAACGAUGCGUAGCCGACCUGAGAGGGUGAUCGGCCACACUGGAACUGAGACACGGUCCAGACUCCUACGGGAGGCAGCAGUAGGGAAUCUUCCGCAAUGGGCGAAAGCCUGACGGAGCAACGCCGCGUGAGUGAUGAAGGUCUUCGGAUCGUAAAACUCUGUUAUUAGGGAAGAACAAAUGUGUAAGUAACUAUGCACGUCUUGACGGUACCUAAUCAGAAAGCCACGGCUAACUACGUG